Long non-coding RNA from Strigops habroptila (Kakapo), 96 nucleotides. RefSeq lists it as uncharacterized. The transcript has 3 exons. The record is from RefSeq and is a predicted model, not a curated record. NCBI's taxonomy places the organism in Eukaryota, Metazoa, Chordata, Aves, Psittaciformes, Psittacidae.
CCCUCCUCUUUUUUCAUGUGACUCCUUGUACAAAGGGAGUCUCCAUCUUCUUUGUAGCCACCCUUUAAAUACUGGAACAUGGUGUUAAGGUUUUCC